Non-coding RNA from Camellia sinensis, 1627 nucleotides. NCBI's taxonomy places the organism in Eukaryota, Viridiplantae, Streptophyta, Magnoliopsida, Ericales, Theaceae. The record is from RefSeq and is a predicted model, not a curated record.
UAGAUUUUAAAAUGAGUUUCACCGAAUAUAUAAUAGUGUAUAAUUAUUCCUCUAUAUUUAGGAUUGGUUUGGCAUACAUGAAAAAAGACAAAAAAUUAUUAAAAAAGUCAAAAAGUUACUCCAACUAUAUGGAUUGGGUGGCAAAAAUCUGUCUGAAUCUGCAGAGGGUAAAAAGACAUUUCUGCCCUUGCUUUUGAGUGGUGCCUCUGAGACGGAUAUAUGACAAUACACCAUCUCUCACCUGAAAGUUCUCAUUUCCUUCUCUAAGCUACACUCGUCGUUGAACAAGCAAGAUAGUCCCUCAGUCGAUUCAACGAGGCUAGUCUAUCACCCUUACACCGCCAACGGCCGGAGAUCCGUCACACCCUUCUUACAGCACCGCCACAACCGUGCCAAAGUCAGACCUCGACGCGAUCGCAUGACAAUAGUAAUCGAUGGGAAAGACCAUCCGUCGUCCAGAUCUGUACCACCGCUGACCAGAUCUACACCACUUCGGCCUGUAUCUCCCAAACUAGAAUACCAUGGCUUCGUUUGUAUUGUCUGCUACUUGUACGCGGACAACACCCUUCUGUGUGUGUGGUUUUGGCCCGUUUGUUGUGAAGAUUUCAAGAUCUUCGAGAAAUUCGGGGUCGUGCAUACUACCAAUGCCCUCGUGUAGUGGUGAGUAUUUAACAGUUAUGCAUUUAUAUGUUUUCGAACUACACUAAUACAUGUGUCUAUUUAGCCAUGUCGUUCUUGGAUUGGCUAGUGUGACGACCAUGACCAAACAUCCGUGCAUGACACUCACAACUCAGUGUUGGACAUGGUCUUCCAGUUGAAGGCUGACAUCCUCAACCUGCAGCAUGUUUUGCGUCUCUUGCAAUUUGUGACGUUCGUCUUGUCUGUUGUUGUUGUAAUGUUGUUGUUGUUGCAUAGUUGAUGUGCUUCGGUUGUUAGGUUGUAUGUACUACCCACCUGCACAUUUGUUUUUUGAUUUCGUACAAUGUCUCCAAUGCGUAUUUCAAAUGGUUAAGCAAUAUGCUAUUUUCGGUUAUCCAUUAUGUUGCCAUGUUAUGAAUGCCCAUUUUACGUUUGUGAAAUACUUGUUUUUCCACGUAUACCACAAUUACUGCUGCAUUGUAAUAGCCAAAUGGAGCACGCCCAAACGCAGUCGACACCUUCCAAAAAUUUGCGUAAGCGAGGUAGUAAACAGACUCAGCUACAGUCCGCAUAUGUGCACAAAGCAGCUUGGGACUCUGACACAGUGUAGAUUUUCUUGCAACUUGUUAUCAAAGAGUUGGACUUUGGUUUCAAUGGUAGCUUCCAUACCAUGACAAUGCACGGAUACAGGGUUGUCUGCAAGGACUUCCAAAAGCGUACAAACAAGGUCCAUGAUGUGAAGCAAAUGUAAAACAAGUACGGGUUACUAAAAAAGGAUUGGCAGUCGUGGUCAUGCCUUAUGGACAGUAGGCAUGGGCCAACUGGCAUAAGUUACAACGAAGCAACUGGUUUGAUACAAACAUCUAAUGAAUAGUGGGCGAAUUAUGAAAAUGUAACAAUUCCAUAUUUUUUUACUUACGUAAAAGGUGAUACUCAUGCAUAUAUUACAAUCUUUAUUUGCUUAGAUCACAAAAAAAAAAAAAAAAAA